Molecule: ribosomal RNA, 501 nt
Filed under: uncultured bacterium
Lineage: Bacteria
Description: partial 16S ribosomal RNA
Rfam family: Bacterial small subunit ribosomal RNA
Source: RNAcentral
AUUGAACGCUGGCGGCAUGCCUUACACAUGCAAGUCGAACGGCAGCACGGGUGCUUGCACCUGGUGGCGAGUGGCGAACGGGUGAGUAAUAUAUCGGAACGUACCUUAUUGUGGGGGAUAACGCAGCGAAAGCUGUGCUAAUACCGCAUAAUCCCUAAGGGGGAAAGCGGGGGACCGUAAGGCCUCGCGCAAUUAGAGCGGCCGAUACCUGAUUAGCUAGUUGGUGAGGUAAAGGCUCACCAAGGCAACGAUCAGUAGCUGGUCUGAGAGGACGAUCAGCCACACUGGGACUGCGACACGGCCCAGACUCCUACGGGAGGCAGCAGUGGGGAAUUUUGGACAAUGGGGGCAACCCUGAGCCAGCAAUGCCGCGUGAGUGAAGAAGGCCUUCGGGUUGUAAAGCUCUUUUGUCAGGGAAGAAACAGCAGCUCUAACACAGUUUGCGAAUGACGGUACCUGAAGAAUAAGCACCGGCUAACUACGUGCCAGCCGCCGCAGUAA